Molecule: long non-coding RNA, 106 nt
Organism: Alosa sapidissima (American shad)
Lineage: Eukaryota; Metazoa; Chordata; Actinopteri; Clupeiformes; Clupeidae
Exons: 3
Source: RefSeq, a predicted model, not a curated record
CUGGGAGAUUGGCUCCCAUUCUAAAGUGGAAACUGGUUCCUUGGCAGCAAGCACAUUAUCAUCAGUAAUACCUCUGCAGUAUGUACUUAUUAAGGAGACUGAGUUU